Molecule: long non-coding RNA, 2093 nt
Organism: Helianthus annuus (common sunflower)
Lineage: Eukaryota; Viridiplantae; Streptophyta; Magnoliopsida; Asterales; Asteraceae
Exons: 5
Source: RefSeq, a predicted model, not a curated record
UUGUUAUAACCCGACACAAGUUCACUUUUCAUCUCGCUCUAGGGUUUCAGUGUCUUCUCCAAGCUUCCAAUCUCAAUCUCCUACAACUUCAAUCGUAUUUCUGUCUCUCCUCCAUCCCUAAAUCACAUCACUCAAGAUCUCAAAUCUUCAUCAACAAGCUUUCAUGAUGCAGGUUCACGUUCAAGAAUAUAACAACAGUACCAGGGUUCAGUCUUCCGGUGGUCGACAUUGAUGAAUACAAGGUGCAUGGUGAAGUUGAAGCUGAUCUCCCCAGAACGUCGUCAUUAUCACAACAAAGCUGCAAUAUGAUGAAUAAUCAUUUGUUUCUUGAGAUUAAGAUGAUAGCUAUCAAAUGAUUAUUUAAUGUCAAAUUUCUAUUUGAAUUGGCUUCUGUCAUGAAUCAAAUUAGUUUAGAUAUGAGGAGUUUUUGCUGACAAAUUGAUACUUUUUAGUUACUCUAAAUCACAAUCGUAGGAACAAGCAUGUUUCUUCUGCAAAUGAAUGUCAUCCACACCAAGGUAUGAUUCCGAUAUCGUUCUACUUUUCAGAUUUUUAUGUUCAUCUAAUAGAUUUUGUUUAUAUAUUAUCGAAAUAGAGUGACCGAUUAUAUCGUAUUUACGGAUUUUUAUCAUUCAUGUUGUUUUACAUGAUCUUAUGUUUAGUUUUUUUUCCCAGAUAUAAUUUUUGCAAUUUUUCAGGAUUUUGUUAAUUCUUUUGAUAUUUUUUCUUUUAUUAUGACUUAAUCUUACUUUGUGUCGCAUAAUAUAUUCGUAGAAGUAUAUAUUAUUUUAAUGUUAAUAUUUUAUUCUUUAGUUUGAAUGAAAUUUUGGUUAUUAGGGUUUUUUGUUUCACUGUUAUGAUGUUUAUAUAUCAUUAUAGAUAGUAUAAAUUGUUAUGUUGUUUAUUUUCUUUUUAACAAUUUAUUGGAUUUUUUUAUUGUUAUAUAAUGUACCAAUGAUUUUCCUUUUAGCAUACUUUUGGCUAGUGGCUUGAGUGUUAGGGUUUUGGUUAUAGCUGAAUUCGCGAGAUUCGAAUGUGCUUUGUGUUUGAGGUUUGAUUGACAGGUUACACAUGGUUUUGAUGGAAUUAGGUUUAUGAAUAUGAGUAUACAUGAAGGUUUUUGUGUGUUGAUUGACUGUAUAUUAUGCUAGGUAUACUAAUUUGCUAAGCCUGAUGAGCUGCAUUAGUUUUUGAAACAUAUUACUCACUAUAAUUCAUCAAAUUAGCAAUAAAGAGGCGAACACCUUUUUAAACUUUGAGAACUUAUUGAUGUAUUUGAGGCCCACUCGAGGAGCUCUUUACAGUAUUAAUGGUUUAAUUCGGUCAAUCGUUUUUACAUUCAACAUGUGUUUGCGAGUACAUUCAGCAAAUUGAAGUGAGUCGAUGCGGUUUUUGGAGCCGAGCGACUAUUUCGACAACAACAGUAAGUGAUGACAACAACGUCAUGGCCCUAUUAGGAUUCCGUUAAGGUAGAGACCCAGUUCAAGUUUCAAGAAUGGAUGCAUUUGAAGAUAACUUUCAGUCAUUGCUAAUCCGGAAUCUAAAGGAAAAAGAAUUACUUUUGGGAGGUAUGUAAAGUAAGGAGAAAGCAAAGUUAUGCGUUGACAGUACGGCGUGAAUUCAUACAUGCGAAUGAUUUCAUGGAAGGUCCAAAAAGCAACAACAGCGUCACACUAGAGCUCCAUGAUUCUUGCAUGAGUUCCGGUUGCAAAAAUUGUUGACCGCCAUAAAGGUCAUCGACAAGAGCGCAAUUGAAUUGGUGGUGACUAUUGCUGAACAACGGGAGUUUGAUUACUUUGCUUGGCUGUUCAAUGGCCGCCAAUUACUGCUCGAAAGCGACUAAAUGUUAUCAAAGCGUUUGCUGCCGAGGGUAAUUGAUUGAUUAUUCAUUGUUGUUUGACUUUUUUUGUUUUUGAACAAAAUUUGAUAUAGGUAACGAGUGAUUUGGUGUUUUGGAUAGUUGUUGAAGUAGUUGACUGUUUGAUUUGGUUGGGCAUAUUAGAUGCUAUAUGGUUUGUUUGUUGUUGUAAAGAUUGGGAUAUUGUAUUUGAUAUUUGAAAGAUGUUAUUAAUUAUGGAGUUAUUGUAGAUUAA